GGAUCUUGUUAAAAAUCUGAUUCUGAUGCAGUAGGACUGGUAGGGCCUGAGAUUCUGCAUUUCUAACAAGCUUUCAGAUGCUGCUGCU
RNAcentral lists this microRNA precursor (88 nucleotides) under Procavia capensis (Cape rock hyrax). Its description in RNAcentral is "miRNA (ENSPCAG00000020329.1)". The record is from RNAcentral. Lineage: Eukaryota; Metazoa; Chordata; Mammalia; Hyracoidea; Procaviidae.